Molecule: ribosomal RNA, 440 nt
Filed under: uncultured bacterium
Lineage: Bacteria
Description: partial 16S ribosomal RNA
Rfam family: Bacterial small subunit ribosomal RNA
Source: RNAcentral
CCUACGGGGGGCAGCAGUGGGGAAUAUUGCACAAUGGGGGAAACCCUGAUGCAGCGACGCCGCGUGAGUGAAGAAGGAAUUCGGUAUGUAAAGCUCUAUCAGCAGGGAAGAAAAUGACGGUACCUGAGUAAGAAGCCCCGGCUAACUACGUGCCAGCAGCCGCGGUAAUACGUAGGGGGCAAGCGUUAUCCGGAUUUACUGGGUGUAAAGGGAGCGUAGACGGCAGUGCAAGUCUGGAGGGAAAGGCGGGGGCUCAACCCCCGGAGUGCUCUUGAAACUGUACGGCUGGAGUGCAGGAGAGGUAAGUGGAAUUCGUGGUGUAGCGGUGAAAUGCGUAGAUAUCAGGAAGAACACCAGUUGCGAAGGCAGCUUACUGGACUGUAACUGACGUUGAGGCUCGAAAGCGUGGGGAGCAAACAGGAUUAGAUACCCCGGUAGUC